AUGGACUGGAGGCUGUUCAGGCCUGGUAACCCUGGGGUCAUGAGAAGAGAAGUUGACUUUGAAUUACAUCAUAAAGGCAGAAUGGGCAGAGCUGACUACUGGAUACCUGUAGGACGGCAGUGUCCAGGAUCCUCACACUGCAGCCCGGGCAGCUGGGGUCAGGGUGGUUCCAUAACACCAUGUCAGUAAUAUGGGUAAAACAUUUUGCAUGGCAUGGCAUUCAUUCAUAAGCAGUAAAAGUACAAAUGUAUAGUAUCAGUGAUAUUAACCAUCGGGCAGCAUCUCAGAAUAUUAUUUUUAAAAUCUAGGUUUAAGCUAAUCAACUCAGUCCUUCACUUCACUGCUAAAUGUAUUAUUAUGCGUAAACUCUGCAGUCCUCUCCAUUUCUAGUUUUCUUUGGUACUUUUAUGGUUGUUUAACUCAAAAACAUGUGCAUGCUAUGGAAAGCUGACUUCAGGGCCUAGAAACAAUAAAUACACGAAAUACAGUCUCAUCGACCUUCGUUAUUAAAAGAGACACGCUGGGUGGGUGGGAGAGAGGCUAUACAAAAGAUCCAUAUUAUUAAAAACUUCCAGAUUUGAGGGAAGCACAGACUUGUGUAAACAAGAGCCUCCGUGGAAAACCUGGGAACCUCCCCAGGCUUCCUGAAAGUGAAGGUGGAGGACUCUAAGUGGGUGCCUCCCUCAUUCGCUGUCUGGCCGUCGUCUCCACCAGGCCCUUUGAGUUUGCUCCUCUUUGUCUAUUGCAUACUCUUUCCAUNNNNNNNNNCAUGACCCAUCCUACUGAGUUCCCCUCAUCACUAUGCUCUGCUUUGGAAGACCUUUAUUACUGACUCCCCCUCUGUCCCCCAACACUGACUUCAGUCUAGGAUCUUCCUCCCUCAUCCUCUGUGUCCACUCUCCGGUUACACCACUUGGCCUUUACUUUCUAUUCUUCCACUUGAAAGAAUAGUCUACAGUCUCUUUAGAUGUCCUGUUAGCUAAUNNNNNNNNNNNNNNNNNNNNAUAUACUUAUCAUAUAUGCAUGGUAGAUGUAUUUUAAUCUCUCACUUCAAGAAUUACAAAUGACUGAAACUUGACAAGAUGUUCAGCCUCACUGGUAAACAAAUAAAGGUAAAUUCAGACAAGAAACAUGCUUAGAAUAUCACUUUUACCAAUAAAAUUAGCAAAUAUUUUUAAUGAAUAGUGCUAAAAUGCCACUCUUUAGUAAGACAAAUAUAAAUUGACCAAAACCAUUCCUUAAAAAAAUUGUAAUAUAUAUGAAAAGCAUUGAAAAUAUUUAUUCUCUUCAUUUGGCGAUUAAAUCAUUAAGAUCUAUCUAAAGAAAUAAUUAAAAUGAAGUUUAUAUAUAAAGAUGCUUAUCUCAGUGAUACAUUUAGAAACUAUCCAAACACUUCACCUUGAGGGAAUGGUUAAAUAAAUGAUGGUACAGAAGCUACUAAAAAUUAUAUUAGUUCUUUAGCCACUAAAAAUUACAUUUACAUAGAAUUUUAAUGUUAUGAAUAAAAGUUUAUGAUAUGUGAGAUUAAGAAAAUAGUNNNNNNNNNNNNAUGUAUAGCAUGAUCUCAACUGAUACUAUAGAUGUAAAAACUAGGAAAAUAUAAUAAAAUGUUGAUAGUGGUUGUCUUUGUAUAAUAAGAAUAUUAAAUAUGGUGAUUUAAGUUUUUCCUAUUUGUAGUCUAUAGUUUAACAUUACAUUUGGUUAUCAGAAAAAUUUAAAUGAUUUGAUAAGAUAAUUUCUUGUUUUAGCCCCUUUCUCUCCUUUUCAACCCAUCAUUUUAAGUUCUUAAUGCCAAUUAUUUCCCUUUCUCUUAUCAAUUUAGCUAACACUAACCACAUACAACCUCUUUCCUUCCCAUUUGAUAGCCACUUUUCCUGCUAACCAUCCAGAAAGCAGUAAGAACCAUCUAGCUUAAUGAAAGGAAUUUGAUGUGAUCCUGAUCAUCCAUAACGUUACGAGCUUUUUGAUCAUGAACUGCAAAUCUUAACUUCUGACUACAAACCACUGCAUAAUUUCCCUUUGUUCCUCUCAACCUCGACAGAUACACACCCACGUACAAAAUCCC
This 2065-nucleotide long non-coding RNA is filed under the name Capra hircus (goat). RNAcentral describes it as "lncRNA (ENSCHIG00010007584.1)". Lineage: Eukaryota; Metazoa; Chordata; Mammalia; Artiodactyla; Bovidae. The record is from RNAcentral.